This 302-nucleotide ribosomal RNA is filed under the name uncultured soil bacterium. RNAcentral's name for it is "bacterial SSU rRNA". It matches the Rfam family "Bacterial small subunit ribosomal RNA", at positions 1082 to 1397 of the family's 1533-position model. The record is from RNAcentral.
AAGUCCCGUAACGAGCGCAACCCUCGCUGCGUGUUACAAGUGUCACGCAGGACCGCCGGUAUUAAGCCGGAGGAAGGUGGGGAUGACGUCAAGUCAGCAUGGCCUUUACGCCUGGGGCUACACACACGCUACAAUGGGCAGUACAAUGGGUUGCUAAGCCGCGAGGUGGAGCCAAUCCCCCAAAACUGUCCUCAGUUCAGAUUGCAGGCUGCAACUCGCCUGCAUGAAGCCGGAGUUGCUAGUAAACGCGCGUCAGCUAUGGUGCGUUGAAUACGUUCUCGGGCCUUGUACACACCGCCCGU